Molecule: ribosomal RNA, 495 nt
Filed under: uncultured bacterium
Lineage: Bacteria
Description: partial 16S ribosomal RNA
Rfam family: Bacterial small subunit ribosomal RNA
Source: RNAcentral
GAUGAACGCUGGCGGCGUGCCUAAUACAUGCAAGUCGAGCGAACAGACGAGGAGCUUGCUCCUCUGACGUUAGCGGCGGACGGGUGAGUAAAACGUGGAUAACCUACCUAUAAGACUGGGAUAACUUCGGGAAACCGGAGCUAAUACCGGAUAAUAUAUUGAACCGCAUGGUUCAAUAGUGAAAGACGGUUUUGCUGUCACUUAUAGAUGGAUCCGCGCCGCAUUAGCUAGUUGGUAAGGUAACGGCUUACCAAGGCAACGAUGCGUAGCCGACCUGAGAGGGUGAUCGGCCACACUGGAACUGAGACACGGUCCAGACUCCUACGGGAGGCAGCAGUAGGGAAUCUUCCGCAAUGGGCGAAAGCCUGACGGAGCAACGCCGCGUGAGUGAUGAAGGUCUUCGGAUCGUAAAACUCUGUUAUUAGGGAAGAACAAAUGUGUAAGUAACUAUGCACGUCUGGACGGUACCUAAGCAGAAAGCCACGGCUAACUACG